CAGUAGCCGCGGGAAUACGUAGGGUGCGAGCGUUAAUCGGAAUUACUGGGCGUAAAGCGUGCGCAGGCGGUUUUGUAAGACAGGCGUGAAAUCCCCGGGCUCAACCUGGGAAUGGCGCUUGUGACUGCAAAGCUGGAGUGCGGCAGAGGGGGAUGGAAUUCCGCGUGUAGCAGUGAAAUGCGUAGAUAUGCGGAGGAACACCGAUGGCGAAGGCAAUCCCCUGGGCCUGCACUGACGCUCAUGCACGAAAGCGUGGGGAGCAAACAGGAUUAGAUACCCCCGUAGUCCCUGUCUCUUAUAC
This 301-nucleotide ribosomal RNA is filed under the name uncultured bacterium. RNAcentral describes it as "partial 16S ribosomal RNA". It matches the Rfam family "Bacterial small subunit ribosomal RNA", at positions 509 to 807 of the family's 1533-position model. The record is from RNAcentral.